RNAcentral lists this ribosomal RNA (254 nucleotides) under uncultured bacterium. RNAcentral describes it as "partial 16S ribosomal RNA". It matches the Rfam family "Bacterial small subunit ribosomal RNA", at positions 524 to 776 of the family's 1533-position model. The record is from RNAcentral.
UACGAAGGGGGCUAGCGUUGUUCGGAAUUACUGGGCGUAAAGCGUAUGUAGGCGGAUCGUUAAGUCGGGGGUGAAAUCCCGAGGCUCAACCUCGGAACUGCCUUCGAUACUGGCGAUCUUCGAGUCCGGGAGAGGUGAGUGGAACUCCGAGUGUAGAGGUGAAAUUCGUAGAUAUUCGGAAGAACACCAGUGGCGAAGGCGGCUCACUGGCCCGGUACUGACGCUGAGGAGCGAAAGCGUGGGGAGCGAACAGG